RNAcentral lists this long non-coding RNA (1057 nucleotides) under Oncorhynchus kisutch (coho salmon). RNAcentral's name for it is "lncRNA (ENSOKIG00005006073.1)". Lineage: Eukaryota; Metazoa; Chordata; Actinopteri; Salmoniformes; Salmonidae. The record is from RNAcentral.
AGGGGGGAGGGUCGUGAAAAUAUUUAACUGUGGAGAGGUACAUUUUGAUCUGUCCCUAAUUAUAUACCGUUUAUUAUUCACAAAUGAACAUUUAGAAAUUGGAAAGCAAAGUGUAUCGAUACAUACUCUACUGUAAUUACUGGAAAAACAAACAGACGUUGAUUUUGUAAGUUAAUGGAAAGGUUGUUUUGGCUGAAUUUAUUCAAAUAUACAUUUAAAUUGCAAGUUCAUGUGCUUUUAAUAAUCUCCUAUGAACAUCUUCACAUAGACAGGGCAAUAAAAAGAUACUGGCAACAAUAAGCACAAUGGACAAUACAAUUACAUGCAGGGGCAAACUGGGACCAGAAACCGGCCCAGGCAUUUCGAACACACCUGCCCAUGUUUUUCUUUAAGACCCUCUUUACUAGGCAAAUUAUUAUUAUUUUGCUAAAAAAAUAAUACCAUUUAGACAGGCCCACUGGGCUAAAGAUGAAUCGGUCCAUCUGGCAUUUGCCAGAAUUGCCCAUUUGCCAGUCCGUUCUUGAGCACAUGGAAGAAUCAACACCCAUGCAGGACAUCCUCCUUGGGCCGCUUCCGUUAAAUCUGUUUCUCUGAGGAGCCCUGCAUGUGAAACACAGACACAGAGAUUAAAGACAGCAUGGUGUCUGUAUGGAAACACAGAGAUACAGGAUAAAGACAGUAUGGUGUCUGUAUGGAAACACAGAGAUACAGGAUAAAGACAGUAUGGUGUCUGUAUGGGGAUAAAGACAGUAUGGUGUCUGUAUGGGAACACAGAGAUACGGAUAGACAGUAUGGUGUCUGUAUGGGGAACACAGAGAUACAGGAUAAAGACAGUAUGGUGCCUGUAUGGGGAACACAAGAGAUACCGGAUAAAGACAGUAUGGUGUCUGUAUGGGGAACACAGAGAUACAGGAUAAAGACAGUAUGGUGGCCUGUAUGGGGAACACCAGAUAUAGACAGGAUAAUAAGACAGUUAUGGUGUCUGUAUGGGAACACAGGAGAUACAGGAUUAAAGACAGUAUGGUGUCUGUAUGGGGAACACAGAGAUACAGGAUAA